Molecule: ribosomal RNA, 465 nt
Filed under: uncultured bacterium
Lineage: Bacteria
Description: partial 16S ribosomal RNA
Rfam family: Bacterial small subunit ribosomal RNA
Source: RNAcentral
GACGAACGCUGGCGGCGUGCUUAACACAUGCAAGUCGAACGGAAAGGCCCUGCUUGCAGGGUACUCGAGUGGCGAACGGGUGAGUAACACGUGGGUGAUCUGCCCUCCACUUCGGGCUAAGCCUUGGACACUUGGUCUAAUACCGGAUAGGAGCCAUUUUUAGUGUGUUGGUUGGAAGGUUUUUGCGGUGUAGGGUGGGCUCGGGGCCUAGCAGCUUGUUCGUGGGGUAAUGGCCUACCAAGGCGGCGACGGGUAGCCGGGCCGAGAGGGGGGACGGCCACAGUGGGGAUGAGAACGGGAGCAGACACCUAGGGGAGGCAGCAGUGGGGAAUAUUGCACAAGCGGCGCAGGCCUGUUGCAGCGACGCCGCGUGGGGGAGGAAGGCCUUCGGGUUGUAGAAGCCUUUCGGUAGGGACGAAGCUUUUUGUGACGGUAGCUAGAUAAGAAGCGCCGGCUAACUACGUG